UGCAAGUCUCAGUACGAGCUGUAUUAAAGUGAAACCGCAAAAGGCUCAGUAAACCGGUCAUAGUUUACCGGAUAUAUGCCACUUAGGUGGAUAACUGUGGUAAUUCUAGAGCUAAUACAUGCAACCAAGUCCCGACCAGCGAUGGAAAGGACGCUUUUAUUGGAUCAAAACCAUUCGCCCCGGUCCGCCGGGGCGUCUGCUUGAUGACUCUAGAUAACACCACAGAUCGCACGGUCACAGUACCGGCGACGUAUCCGUCAAAUGUCUGACUUAUCAGCUGUCGAUGGUAGACUCUGUGUCUACCAUGGCGCUCACGGGUAACGGGGAAUCAGGGUUCGAUUCCGGAGAGGGAGCCUGAGAAACGGCUACCACAUCCAAGGAAGGCAGCAGGCACGCAAAUUACCCACUCCCGGCACGGGGAGGUAGUGACAAAAAAUAACGAUACGGGACUCAUCCGAGGCCCCGUAAUCGGAAUGAGAACACCCUAAAUCCUUUAACGAGGAUCUAUUGGAGGGCAAGUCUGGUGCCAGCAGCCGCGAUAAUUCCAGCUCCAAUAGCGUAUAUUAAAGUUGUUGCGGUUAAAAAGCUCGUAGUUGGUUCUGCGUGCCACGCUGUCGGUUCACCGCCUGUCGGUGCAACUGGCAUGCCGUGGCAUGUCCUGUCGGUGGCCGACAGGCUUCGCGGCGCGCCCUAUUCGUUCACACGUGUAGGUCGUCGCGCCGAGUUGUCCUCGUAGGCCGGCUCAAUCCUACCGCGGUGCUCUUUACCGAGUGUCGAGGUAGGCCGACACUGUUUACUUUGAACAAAUUAGAGUGCUUAAAGCAGGCUCUGAAAGCAGCCUGAAUAGUGGUGCAUGGAAUAAUGGAACAGGACCUUGGUUCUAUUUUGUUGGUUUUCUGAAUCCAAGGUAAUGAUCAAUAAGGACAGGCGGGGGCAUUCGUAUUGCGACGUUAGAGGUGAAAUUCUUGGAUCGUCGCAAGACGCACUAGAGCGAAAGCAUUUGCCAAGUAUGUCUUAAUUGAUCAAGAACGAAAGUUAGAGGUUCGAAGGCGAUCAGAUACCGCCCUAGUUCUAACCAUAAACGAUGCCAGCCAGCGAUCCGCCGAUGUUCCUCCGAUGACUCGGCGGGGAGCUUUCCCCGGGAAACCAAAGCUUUUGGGUUCCGGGGGAAGUAUGGUUGCAAAGCUGAAACUUAAAGGAAUUGACGGAAGGGCACCACCAGGAGUGGAGCCUGCGGCUUAAUUUGACUCAACACGGGAAACCUCACCAGGCCCGGACAUUGGAAGGAUUGACAGAUCGAUAGCUCUUUCUCGAUUCAGUGGGUAGUGGUGCAUGGCCGUUCUUAGUUGGUGGACUGAUUUGUCUGGUUAAUUCCGAUAACGAACGAGACUCUGACCUAUUAACUAGGCGCUCCCGGUAUAAAUGCCUACCGGCGAGAUU
This 1440-nucleotide ribosomal RNA is filed under the name Megacopta aff. cribraria H1168-2. Its description in RNAcentral is "SSU rRNA". It matches the Rfam family "Eukaryotic small subunit ribosomal RNA", at positions 52 to 1391 of the family's 1831-position model. Lineage: Eukaryota; Metazoa; Arthropoda; Insecta; Hemiptera; Plataspidae. The record is from RNAcentral.